GUACGGUACGGCCCCGAAACACCGCCGGCCGUACGUACGAUGUUUCCCUUUCGAGAAACGUCAUACGGUACGGCCAGCGGCGUUUCGGGGCCGUACCAUGC
Molecule: microRNA precursor, 101 nt
Filed under: Picea abies (Norway spruce)
Lineage: Eukaryota; Viridiplantae; Streptophyta; Pinopsida; Pinales; Pinaceae
Description: miR11423h stem-loop (pab-MIR11423h)
Source: miRBase by way of RNAcentral